CAGCCGCCGCGGUAAUACCGGCGGCCCGAGUGGCGGUCACUAUUAUUGGGCUUAAAGCGUCCGUAGCCGGGUUGGGAAGUCCUCCGGGAAAUCUGGCCGCUUAACGGUCAGAAUGCCGGAGGAUACUCCCAGCCUAGGGAGCGGGAGAGGCCGAGGGUAUUCCCGGAGCAGGGGUGAAAUCCUAUAAUCCCGGGAGGACCACCUGUGGCGAAGGCGCUCGGCUGGAACGCGUCCGACGGUGAGGGACGAAGGCCAGGGGAGCAAACCGGAUUAGAUACCCGGGUAGUCCUGGCGGUAAACGAUGCGGACUUUGUGUCGGACAAGCUAUGAGCUUGUCCGGUGCCGGAGGGAAACCGUUAAGUCCGCCGCCUGGGGAGUACGGCCGCAAGGCUGAAACUUAAAGGAAUUGGCGGG
This 414-nucleotide ribosomal RNA is filed under the name uncultured microorganism. RNAcentral describes it as "bacterial SSU rRNA". It matches the Rfam family "Archaeal small subunit ribosomal RNA", at positions 459 to 872 of the family's 1478-position model. The record is from RNAcentral.